Molecule: ribosomal RNA, 468 nt
Filed under: uncultured bacterium
Lineage: Bacteria
Description: partial 16S ribosomal RNA
Rfam family: Bacterial small subunit ribosomal RNA
Source: RNAcentral
GACGAACGCUGGCGGCGUGCUUAACACAUGCAAGUCGAACGGAAAGGCCCUGCUUUUGUGGGGUGCUCGAGUGGCGAACGGGUGAGUAACACGUGAGUAACCUGCCCUUGACUUUGGGAUAACUUCAGGAAACUGGGGCUAAUACAGGAUAGGAGCUCCUGCUGCAUGGUGGGGGUUGGAAAGGUUCGGCGGUUGGGGAUGGACUCGCGGGUUAUCAGCUUGUUGGUGGGGUAGUGGCUUACCAAGGCUUUGACGGGUAGCCGGCCUGAGAGGGUGACCGGCCACAAUGGGACUGAGAUACGGCCCAGACUCCUACGGGAGGGAGCAGUGGGGAAUAGUGCACAAUGGGCGGAAGCCUGAUGCAGCAACGCCGCGUGCGGGAUGACGGCCUUCGGGUUGUAAACCGCUUUCGCCUGUGACGAAGCGUGAGUGACGGUAAUGGGUAAAGAAGCACCGGCUAACUACGUG